AUCAAGGGUUUCCAUUUAUCAUACAUCAAAAAACGAAUUUUCUAGAUGAUUUCGUAGUCUUUACAGUUCAUGAUUGUGUGCGCCUUUUGGUUAGCUUUUGACUCCUGUGGUACGGCGCAUCGAUGAGACGCAAUUUGAAUUGGUGCUACGCGACGCGCGUUUGGCUGCUGGCGGUGCGUUUCCACCAAAAGCAAAGAGAAUGCGGAAGUCAUCGUGACGUCACCGCAUGACGUCAGCUUUUUGAGUCGCAGUAGCCUAUAUGGCCAGGACACGGGACGGGCAACGUGUUUGCUUAAGAAUCGUCGACCCCGUCCACCGUCGAAUGUGUUGCCUACCAAGGAAGGGGAUACUCGGGCAAGAAAAAACUUUGAGUCCAAAUUGGCAACAAGAGUUUUCUUUCUGGAAAAGUGUCGUUUUAUGCACAAUUUAUGUAUUUCUUUUAUCAAUUUAUUGUGCCUUUUACCAUUUAGUAUUGUUACAAACACAUCAUAAUUUUUAUUUAUAAGCCGAUUUAAAUGUGCUCACAUUUGCAACGGAUGCAUGGCACCUUAACACGUUGAGUCCCACGUGACCACACGUAUGGGCACAAUAACCCGUAAUUAGCACUCCCCUUGGGACUCAACGUGUUAAGAUGUUCAAUUCAACAUGUACGAAUUGAAGAACUGAAUAAACUAUUCCGAACUUUU
Molecule: long non-coding RNA, 686 nt
Organism: Frankliniella occidentalis (western flower thrips)
Lineage: Eukaryota; Metazoa; Arthropoda; Insecta; Thysanoptera; Thripidae
Exons: 2
Source: RefSeq, a predicted model, not a curated record